Molecule: long non-coding RNA, 129 nt
Organism: Alosa sapidissima (American shad)
Lineage: Eukaryota; Metazoa; Chordata; Actinopteri; Clupeiformes; Clupeidae
Exons: 3
Source: RefSeq, a predicted model, not a curated record
GGUGUGUGUGUGAGAAACAGUACUGUAAGGGUACGUUCAGACUUAGUGUCUUUUUCUGACAAAAGAAGUUAUGCAGACCACUUUUUCAGUUUGAAAAAAAAUCUGCCAGCAUUCUUGUUCCAAAAAGCA